RNAcentral lists this non-coding RNA (24 nucleotides) under Mus musculus (house mouse). The record is from RNAcentral. Lineage: Eukaryota; Metazoa; Chordata; Mammalia; Rodentia; Muridae.
UAAUGGCCAUGUAACAUUGCCCUU